Molecule: transfer RNA, 83 nt
Filed under: Arthrobacter sp.
Lineage: Bacteria; Bacillati; Actinomycetota; Actinomycetes; Micrococcales; Micrococcaceae
Description: tRNA-Leu
Rfam family: tRNA
About the family: Transfer RNA (tRNA) molecules are approximately 80 nucleotides in length. Their secondary structure includes four short double-helical elements and three loops (D, anti-codon, and T loops).
Source: RNAcentral
GCGAGUGGUGAAAUUGGCAGACACGCAGGAUUUAGGUUCCUGUGCCUUCGGGCGUGUGGGUUCAAGUCCCACCUUCCGCACCA